UGACACUAGUCUGGAACAAAGGAGGUGGUCACUUAUUAUUUCUGUGGGUACGCCUUAACUCCAUCCCUGGGAAAGACUUGAUAAUCCACAGGGUAUUUAUCCAAUGAUUUGGAGGUGUGUUAGUGUACUUGCUUGGGGCCAAGAUCUAAUUUUGAGUGAGUGACCAUCAUCCUUCCUUGCCAGAUACCCCCUGGGCAGAAGUUGUACUUUGAAAACUUAAGUGAGUAAUUAGGACGUCUGUAUUUUAUCCUUUUUGUUUUUAUCUGUUAUUGGUGAAAAUUAUUUAUCAUAUAUUUUUGUAUACACUGUGACUAUUUUUGCUCAUAAU
Molecule: non-coding RNA, 328 nt
Organism: Pelobates cultripes (western spadefoot toad)
Lineage: Eukaryota; Metazoa; Chordata; Amphibia; Anura; Pelobatidae
Source: the annotation of a GenBank genome assembly